ACAUCCAGAGAUUUAGCAGAGAUGCUUUAGUGCCUUCGGGAACUCUGAGACAGGUGCUGCAUGGCUGUCGUCAGCUCGUGUUGUGAAAUGUUGGGUUAAGUCCCGCAACGAGCGCAACCCUUAUCCUUUGUUGCCAGCACGUAAUGGUGGGAACUCAAAGGAGACUGCCGGUGAUAAACCGGAGGAAGGUGGGGAUGACGUCAAGUCAUCAUGGCCCUUACGAGUAGGGCUACACACGUGCUACAAUGGCGCAUACAAAGAGAAGCGACCUCGCGAGAGCAAGCGGACCUCAUAAAGUGCGUCGUAGUCCGGAUUGGAGUCUGCAACUCGACUCCAUGAAGUCGGAAUCGCUAGUAAUCGUAAAUCAGAAUGUUACGGUGAAUACGUUCCCGGGCCUUGUACACACCGCCCGUCACACCAUGGGAGGUGGGUUGCAAAAGAAGUAGAUAGCUUAACCUUCGGGAGGGCGUUUACCACUUUGUGAUUCAUGACUGGGGUGAAGUCGUAACAAGGUAAGCGUAGUGCU
This 526-nucleotide ribosomal RNA is filed under the name uncultured bacterium. Its description in RNAcentral is "bacterial SSU rRNA". It matches the Rfam family "Bacterial small subunit ribosomal RNA", at positions 984 to 1509 of the family's 1533-position model. The record is from RNAcentral.